UGCCUAAUACAUGCAAGUCGAGCGAACUGAUUAGAAGCUUGCUUCUAUGACGUUAGCGGCGGACGGGUGAGUAACACGUGGGCAACCUGCCUGUAAGACUGGGAUAACUUCGGGAAACCGAAGCUAAUACCGGAUAGGAUCUUCUCCUUCAUGGGAGAUGAUUGAAAGAUGGUUUCGGCUAUCACUUACAGAUGGGCCCGCGGUGCAUUAGCUAGUUGGUGAGGUAACGGCUCACCAAGGCAACGAUGCAUAGCCGACCUGAGAGGGUGAUCGGCCACACUGGGACUGAGACACGGCCCAGACUCCUACGGGAGGCACCAGUAGGGAAUCUUCCGCAAUGGACAAAAGUCUGACGGAGCACUUUCGCGUGAGUGAUGAAGGCUUUCGGUUUCUAACACUCUGUUGUUAGG
RNAcentral lists this ribosomal RNA (410 nucleotides) under Priestia megaterium. RNAcentral's name for it is "bacterial SSU rRNA". It matches the Rfam family "Bacterial small subunit ribosomal RNA", at positions 45 to 443 of the family's 1533-position model. Lineage: Bacteria; Bacillati; Bacillota; Bacilli; Caryophanales; Bacillaceae. The record is from RNAcentral.